Non-coding RNA from Mycena sp. CBHHK59/15, 76 nucleotides. The record is from the annotation of a GenBank genome assembly. NCBI's taxonomy places the organism in Eukaryota, Fungi, Basidiomycota, Agaricomycetes, Agaricales, Mycenaceae.
AGUUGCUUAGCUCAGUGGUUAGAGAAACUGUGGUGCAAUCACACAAAGGUCCUGGGUUUGAUCCCCAGAGCCACCA